This 253-nucleotide ribosomal RNA is filed under the name uncultured bacterium. RNAcentral describes it as "partial 16S ribosomal RNA". It matches the Rfam family "Bacterial small subunit ribosomal RNA", at positions 524 to 776 of the family's 1533-position model. The record is from RNAcentral.
UACAGAGGUCUCAAGCGUUGUUCGGAUUCAUUGGGCGUAAAGGGCGCGUAGGCGGUGGGGUAAGUCUGGUGUGAAAUCUCGGAGCUCAACUUCGAAAUUGCACUGGAUACUGCUCUGCUAGAGGGCUGGAGAGGAGAUCGGAAUUCACGGUGUAGCAGUGAAAUGCGUAGAUAUCGUAAGGAAGACCAGUGGCGAAGGCGGGUCUCUGGACAGUUCCUGACGCUGAAGCACGAAGGCCAGGGGAGCAAACGGG